UUUCAUAAAAAAAAAAAAAUCAAACUAAACCAAAUUAAGAGAUAAAUCAAUCAAACUAAAUUAUUCUGGUUUAGUACGGUUCGGUUCAAACCGUUGGUAUGCUCUCAAGCGCCCAAUUUCUUGCCCAAAUCUCAAAUCCCUGGUUUCUUCCUCAAAUAGUUAUCAAAGGUGUGCAGCAAGGUGCAUUGGACACCGGGUUAGUGCCUCAUCCAGGGAAAGCUGGGUGACCUCACCCAGGCACAGUAAGAAGCUAGAUGCGCCUAGGCACCCCCAAGUGAGGUGAAGGCACAAACAUGCAUCGCAAAAGUUCAUGCAACCCUGAAAAACGAAGAAAAAGAAGACAAUCUGGCUGUUACCUACCCUAACGUGGUUGUUUAGUGUUUACAUUGGCUUUAUAUGGCUGUAUUUUAUAGUAAUGAUGGGUCGAGCUUAAUGGCUUUGUUAUAUGGCUGUGUUGUGUGGUGAUUGUGAGCUUAGUGAGCUUAAUGGUUGUUGGG
This 497-nucleotide unclassified non-coding RNA is filed under the name Hevea brasiliensis (rubber tree). The record is from RNAcentral. Lineage: Eukaryota; Viridiplantae; Streptophyta; Magnoliopsida; Malpighiales; Euphorbiaceae.